RNAcentral lists this ribosomal RNA (469 nucleotides) under uncultured bacterium. RNAcentral's name for it is "bacterial SSU rRNA". It matches the Rfam family "Bacterial small subunit ribosomal RNA", at positions 28 to 507 of the family's 1533-position model. The record is from RNAcentral.
GACGAACGCUGGCGGCGCGCCUAACACAUGCAAGUCGAACGAGCGAAGAGGAGCUUGCUUCUCUGAGCGAGUGGCGAACGGGUGAGUAACGCGUGAGGAACCUGCCUCAAAGAGGGGGACAACAGUUGGAAACGACUGCUAAUACCGCAUAAGCCCACGGGUCGGCAUCGACCAGAGGGAAAAGGAGCAAUCCGCUUUGAGAUGGCCUCGCGUCCGAUUAGCUAGUUGGUGAGGUAAUGGCCCACCAAGGCGACGAUCGGUAGCCGGACUGAGAGGUUGAACGGCCACAUUGGGACUGAGACACGGCCCAGACUCCUACGGGAGGCAGCAGUGGGGAAUAUUGCACAAUGGGGGAAACCCUGAUGCAGCGACGCCGCGUGGAGGAAGAAGGUCUUCGGGAUUGUAAACUUCUUUUGUCAGGGACGAGUAGAAGACGGUACCUGACGAAUAAGCCACGGCUAACUACGUG